AAAGCCGGUCUCAGUUCGGAUUGGAGUCUGCAACCCGACUCCAUGAAGCUGGAUUCGCUAGUAAUCGCGCAUCAGCCAUGGCGCGGUGAAUACGUUCCCGGGCCUUGUACACACCGCCCGUCAAGCCAUGGGAGCCGGGAGUGCCUGAAGUGCGUGACCGCAAGGAGCGCCCUAAGGCAAGACCGGUGACUGGGGCUAAGUCGUAACAAGGUAUC
RNAcentral lists this ribosomal RNA (215 nucleotides) under uncultured bacterium. Its description in RNAcentral is "partial 16S ribosomal RNA". It matches the Rfam family "Bacterial small subunit ribosomal RNA", at positions 1278 to 1500 of the family's 1533-position model. The record is from RNAcentral.